Esox lucius (northern pike) is the source of this 435-nucleotide long non-coding RNA. RefSeq lists it as uncharacterized. The record is from RefSeq and is a predicted model, not a curated record. The transcript has 3 exons. NCBI's taxonomy places the organism in Eukaryota, Metazoa, Chordata, Actinopteri, Esociformes, Esocidae.
AUGAUGAUGUCAUCUAUUUGUAUAAAUAGCCCCUCGAUGGUUAGUGACGUUCUUCUUGGAGACGGUGCCUUCUAGCUGAGACACCCCUCCACGACAUGCGGGCCAAGUGGAGAAAGAAGCGUAUGCGCAGACUGAAGCGCAAGAGGCGAAAGAUGAGGCAGAGGUCCAAGUAAAGUGCCCCCUCAAACAACACCAUGGCUGUGGCCUAGCUUCUGGAAACAACAUGGGACCAAGAAUCUACCAAAUGCCGAGUCUGACCAGAGCUGUGCUGUCCCUGCUGACAAAAGGCUACUAAUUUGAACUUGGUCAAGAGACUCUAAACCACCUGCCUUGGAGAUUAUUUGAUGUUGGGACAUUCUGGAUUCUCUACACUUAUCAAACCUACCCUACUCUAUUGCUUUUGUUUAUACUUUCCAAUAAAGUUUUUGGUUUAAA